This 330-nucleotide ribosomal RNA is filed under the name uncultured eukaryote. Its description in RNAcentral is "partial 18S ribosomal RNA". It matches the Rfam family "Eukaryotic small subunit ribosomal RNA", at positions 1470 to 1796 of the family's 1831-position model. The record is from RNAcentral.
CCCUUAGAUGUUCUGGGCCGCACGCGCGCUACACUGAUGCAUUCAACGAGUCUAAAACCUGGUCUGAUAGGGCUGGGUAAUCUUUUGAAAGUGCAUCGUGAUUGGGAUAGAUGAUUGCAAUUCUUCAUCUUCAACGAGGAAUGCCUAGUAAACGCAAGUCAUCAGCUUGCAUUGAUUACGUCCCUGCCCUUUGUACACACCGCCCGUCGCUCCUACCGAUUGAAUGAUCCGAUGAAUACCAUGGAUUGAGAGUACGAAUGGGUUCGAUCAUUUCUGCUGCUCGAGAAGUGGAGUAAAUCUUAUCAUUUAGAGGAAGGAGAAGUCGUAACA